This 500-nucleotide ribosomal RNA is filed under the name uncultured bacterium. RNAcentral describes it as "partial 16S ribosomal RNA". The record is from RNAcentral.
GUAGUUAGCCGUGGCUUCCUCCUUAGGUACCGUCAUUAUCGUCCCUAAAGACAGAGCUUUACAUACCGAAAUACUUCAUCACUCACGCGGCGUUGCUGGGUCAGGCUUGCGCCCAUUGCCCAAUAUUCCCCACUGCUGCCUCCCGUAGGAGUCUGGACCGUGUCUCAGUUCCAGUGUGGCCGAUCAGCCUCUCAGCUCGGCUACCCAUCGUCGGCUUGGUGGGCUGUUAUCUCACCAACUACCUAAUGGGACGCGAACCCCUCUAAAAGCGAUAAAUCUUUGACCUCUUCCCGAUGCCGGGUUGUGGUCUUAUGCGGUAUUAGCAGUUGUUUCCACCUGUUAUUCCCCACUCUUAGGCAGGUUGUUCACGCGUUACUCACCCGUGCGCCACUAGAAUUAUCAAUUCCAUCCGAAAACUUCCUUAAUAAUCCCCGUUCGACUUGCAUGUGUUAGGCACGCCGCCACGCGUUCGUCCUCGUAGCCACUAAUACAACUACUGA